Molecule: transfer RNA, 73 nt
Filed under: Camelus bactrianus (Bactrian camel)
Lineage: Eukaryota; Metazoa; Chordata; Mammalia; Artiodactyla; Camelidae
Also listed under: 1 other name
Rfam family: tRNA
About the family: Transfer RNA (tRNA) molecules are approximately 80 nucleotides in length. Their secondary structure includes four short double-helical elements and three loops (D, anti-codon, and T loops). Further hydrogen bonds mediate the characteristic L-shaped molecular structure. tRNAs have two regions of fundamental functional importance: the anti-codon, which is responsible for specific mRNA codon recognition, and the 3' end, to which the tRNAs corresponding amino acid is attached (by aminoacyl-tRNA synthetases). tRNAs cope with the degeneracy of the genetic code in two manners: having more than one tRNA (with a specific anti-codon) for a particular amino acid; and 'wobble' base-pairing, i.e. permitting non-standard base-pairing at the 3rd anti-codon position.
Source: Rfam by way of RNAcentral
GGAUAUAUAUAUAUAGUGGUAGAGUGCAUGCUUAGCAUGCACAAGGUCCUGGGUUCAAUCCCCAGUAUCUCCA